Molecule: non-coding RNA, 239 nt
Filed under: Lysinibacillus sphaericus
Lineage: Bacteria; Bacillati; Bacillota; Bacilli; Caryophanales; Bacillaceae
Description: Lysinibacillus sp. T-box sequence
Rfam family: T-box leader
About the family: Uncharged tRNA acts as the effector for transcription antitermination of genes in the T-box leader family. T-boxes are found upstream of many aminoacyl-tRNA synthetase genes and some amino acid biosynthetic genes usually in Gram-positive bacteria.
Source: RNAcentral
ACAAAUUCGUUGAUGAGAAAGAGUAGUGUUUCAUUUUGUUCUACAGAGAGCCGACAUUUGGUGGAAGUCGGUGUGCAGGUGUUACAUGAAAAUCCUCUCUGAGAAGAUUGGCUGAAUAGAGUAAGCCAAUCCGGGUGUCUACCGUUAAAAAGAACACGUAUGAUUGUACGUUGCUGAGCGCUAUUGACCAUUGUGUCAAUAGAAUUAGGGUGGUAUUCGCGGUUAACCCCGUCCCUUUC